This is a long non-coding RNA of Apodemus sylvaticus (European woodmouse), 1584 nucleotides long. RefSeq lists it as uncharacterized. NCBI's taxonomy places the organism in Eukaryota, Metazoa, Chordata, Mammalia, Rodentia, Muridae. The transcript has 2 exons. The record is from RefSeq and is a predicted model, not a curated record.
UGGUGGCUUUUCUGCUCUCAUUCUUGGUUGAUGUAAAUGGUGGAAAUUCCCCAUAUAAUGGAUACUGGUUAACUCCUCACAGGCUACUUUACUUUCUCCCUCUGGGGUUUCCCGGCCAGCUUAGCAAGAGUUUCUGCCUGUAGGGGGAUGUCCUCCACUCUGCUGGUGUGUUUUCUGUGGCGCUGCCUGCGUCUGGUCUGUGCUUGGUGUGGUUAUGGAAGAGACAAAGCAAGUCAUCCAUUCUGCAGCCUGAGCAGUCUUUGGGAAGUGAUCCCUGGCCAGUGCCUGCUGAUUCCAAACUCCACAGCAAAGCAGAGCCAGGCUGCAGGGAAACAUGGUGUACAAAAGAAGAAACUGCGCAUGCUCCUGGCAAAGCAGCUGGGAAAAGAGAUCACUCAGCACCAAAUAUGAGCCAAUGACUCCGGGCUUGAAAGUAGCCAUUGUCUUAACCCACAAGCACGCAGGCAGGAAUGAGCAGGGCCUGCUGGGUUUUUCCUUUCCCAGUUGCUGAGCCAGCUGCUCCGUGCUGGGACAAAUGCCUGCGCCUUGUUCUCAGUUCAGGACAAGGAUCUUGACACAGGACAGAAGGUCGAAUGGUACACCAGUAGGGCAGGAAAAGAAAAAUAAAAACAGGAAGUGGCCUUCUCUGAGAUUUUUCCAUGGAAAGGCUGAGAAAAGCAUCGGAUAGAACAAGAAAAGGGAAGAAAUGGGUGGUGUCCAGAAGCUCUGAGAAGUGAAUGUGCCUUUGUUGGAAAACAGCCCAUAGCACAUAGCCUCAGGGCCCUGCUUUGGCUCCCUGCCUUCCAUGUCACCGAGAGGAUGCUUCUUCAGGGAAGACUCAGAAUGCCAUUCACAGAAGAACUCAUCCUCAGUGUGAGGAUAUGUCAUAUCCUCUUAACUCUCAGUGUGAGGACUAGCUCUGUUGCCUCUAUGCCACUGACUGCAGCUGGGUGAAGCUCAAAGGAGGUUGCCCUGUCUCCCCCUCUCUUCAUCAAGAAGAUCUGUGGGAGAAGAGAGCAACUCUGGGCCAUAGGGAAAGGGGGCAAGAUAAAGCUCUUCUGCCAGGUUCACAGUCUUUACUCACAGGAGGAAGAGCUGCAGUCUUCCUAGCUGUGUUCCAUCUGGUCUUGAGGUCCUAGUUUAGGGCCCAGUUAUGAAAGCAGUCAGAGCUUUAUACGAAGGGGGAAGAAUGUAGCAGUAGCAGCCGGCACAUACCCAUGAGUCAGGACCGUGCACUCCAGACAACCACCAGAGGCCAAAGGGCAGCCUUGGCCUUUACCACAGUUUUUCUCAAAACACACAGUAAGCGGGUGGCAGGAAGUGAGUUGCAGCAACCUCGAGCGAUGUGUGAAAGUUUCCAAUUAGAAAUUCAAAGAACUCGUCCUAUUUAAUGGAAAAGCGAAACGAAUUCUUUCUUGUACUUCUCAUCCUUGGUUGGUCCCGGCAGAGACACUGUGACGGUUCGUUCCCUGAUAUCUGCAGGAUCUGAGGUGAUGGGAAGGAACCAAUCAGAGAUUUAGGUUCAGGACAAUUGCCUGAGUUAGACCGAGUUUAUACUAUGUUGUUGAUAAAGUUUUAUUGGUA